GGGAUCUAUCAAAGAAACGUCACAUGGUACCCAAGCCAGCAGCAAAUCGGAAAACAGGUGUUCUGUUUUAAAGCACUGGACUCGGCAAGAUUGGAAACUGAAAUGCGAUGUGUGACGAUUCUCGUUGGUCUUAGUAACACUCCACGAGUGAUUAUAGGAAGUCGCAGCCCAAGAAAUCCAAUCAGUACGAGAGGACCAGGCUUUGUCCAGUUGAGCAUCAAGUUUGACCGAGUGGUAAGAUCAGCUUAAUCAUUAGCAUCCUUAAUAACCGUAAUCCUUGGUUUUUAUCUCAUCACUAUCAUAUUUAUGAACAUUUUUUUGUUCUCAGUAGCAUCAAGAGAGGAUCAAGAGUAACAGAGUGAACCUUUCAUAUGCUGUAGGCCUUAUUUCCAACGUAAUCCAAGUCAAGUUAUUUUUAGACAUUGCACCCAGUUCUUUCACGGAUAGAUUUACCGCGCACUAUGCGUGAAUUGUUUUUUCGAGGAUCAAAAUACGUCUCAAGCUUCCAGGGUUGUCCACGUGAGUAAAAUCCACCUCAUAGGAUUGGCUAUCUCUAGAUCACCCUGGGAUUUCUGACACCAAGAAUGAUCCAAAAUAAAUUGAGAAGGAUUUCCUCGGGACUGAGGCGUAUACAGAGGAUUAACUAUCUUACCCUUCUUACCCUUAAUCUUCUCUUGGUAUCGACUAUCACCUUUACUAAGCAGCCUUGAAUGCUCUUUGAUGUCUUACUUUUGUCAAAAUGGGACAAAAUUUCCGUUAACGUGCGUAUUGUCUGAUCCGAUAACAGAUAUAAGUUCAGAUGAGUUCUUCCUGUUAUUUAUUUACAAUAAUCAAAAAGUCUCCAAAAUUUCCCCAUGCCCUCUCCACCCGGAACGCCUGGACCAAAACUAACCAUGUUACUAGUUACUAUUGUUUCAGCAUAAUGCUUCGAUUGCAUAGUCGCGUGAUUGCGGCGAGAUUAUGAGGGUAUAUUGUGGGCAACACUAAUAUUUGUCGCCAUUGAAAGCAGCAAUAAGAAGGUUACCCAUGCCUACACUUGUUUGGUAAAAUGUUUUGGUUUAUCCACUUUUUGAGGAUGUCUUGUGUUCCUUACCUCAGCUACUGCCAUUUUCAGUAACAUGGAAACUCUGAGGUUCACACUGAGUUAAGUUUAGAGGGUCGCAGUUGGCAGAU
This 1173-nucleotide unclassified non-coding RNA is filed under the name Orbicella faveolata. Its description in RNAcentral is "uncharacterized LOC110053220, transcript variant X2". The record is from RNAcentral. Lineage: Eukaryota; Metazoa; Cnidaria; Anthozoa; Scleractinia; Merulinidae.